RNAcentral lists this ribosomal RNA (300 nucleotides) under uncultured Bacillus sp. Its description in RNAcentral is "bacterial SSU rRNA". It matches the Rfam family "Bacterial small subunit ribosomal RNA", at positions 496 to 795 of the family's 1533-position model. Lineage: Bacteria; Bacillati; Bacillota; Bacilli; Caryophanales; Bacillaceae. The record is from RNAcentral.
GGAGACGUGGUGCCAGCAGCAGCGAUGAUACGAAGGGGUAUAUGUUUGCGCGGAGGUACUCGGCGUCAAGCGCACGUAGGCGGCUGGCUAAGUCAAGGGUGAAAUCCUGGAUCUCAACGCCAGAACUGCCUUUGAUACUGGAGAGCUCGAGUCCGGAAGAGGAGAGUGGAACGGCGAGUGUAGAGGUGAAAUUCGUAGAUAUUCGCAAGAACACCAGUGGCGAAGGCGGCUCACUGGUCCGGUACUGACGCUGAGGUGCGAAAGCGUGGGGAGCAAACAGGAUUAGAUACCCGAGUAGUC